UAAGGAAUAUUGGUCAAUGGACGCAAGUCUGAACCAGCCAUGCCGCGUGAAGGAUGAAGGUCCUCUGGAUUGUAAACCUCUUUUAUCUGGGACGAAAACGGGAUUUUUAUCUCAAUUGACGGUACCAGAGGAAUAAGCACCGGCUAACUCCGUGCCAGCAGCCGCGGUAAUACGGAGGGUGCGAGCGUUAUCCGGAUUUACUGGGUUUAAAGGGUGCGUAGGUGGGCUUAUAAGUCAGUGGUGAAAUCUCCGAGCUUAACUUGGAAACUGCCGUUGAUACUAUAGGUCUUGAAUUAUCUGGAGNUAAGCGGAAUAUGUCAUGUAGCGGUGAAAUGCUUAGAUAUGACAUAGAACACCAAUUGCGAAGGCAGCUUACUACAUAUAAAUUGACGCUGAGGCACGAAAGCGUGGGGAUCAAACA
RNAcentral lists this ribosomal RNA (421 nucleotides) under uncultured bacterium. Its description in RNAcentral is "bacterial SSU rRNA". It matches the Rfam family "Bacterial small subunit ribosomal RNA", at positions 355 to 774 of the family's 1533-position model. The record is from RNAcentral.